GGAGAGAUGGCUGAGCGGCUGAAGGCGCACGCCUGGAAAGUGUGUUUAGGUUAAUCCCUAACGAGGGUUCGAAUCCCUCUCUCUCCG
Molecule: transfer RNA, 87 nt
Filed under: Rheinheimera sp. SA_1
Lineage: Bacteria; Pseudomonadati; Pseudomonadota; Gammaproteobacteria; Chromatiales; Chromatiaceae
Rfam family: tRNA
About the family: Transfer RNA (tRNA) molecules are approximately 80 nucleotides in length.
Source: Rfam by way of RNAcentral